GACGAACGCUGGCGGCGUGCUUAACACAUGCAAGUCGAACGGAAAGGCCCUGCUUUUGUGGGGUGCUCGAGUGGCGGACGGGUGAGUAACACGUGAGUAACCUGCCCUUGACUUUGGGAUAACUUCAGGAAACUGGGGCUAAUACCGGAUAGGAGCUCCUGCUGCAUGGUGGGGGUUGGAAAGUUUCGGCGGUUGGGGAUGGACUCGCGGCUUAUCAGCUUGUUGGUGGGGUAGUGGCUUACCAAGGCUUUGACGGGUAGCCGGCCUGAGAGGGGGACCGGCCACAUUGGGACUGAGAUACGGCCCAGACUCGUACGGGAGGCAGCAGUGGGGAAUAUUGCACAAUGGGCGGAAGCCUGAUGCAGCAACGCCGCGUGCGGGAUGACGGCCUUCGGGUUGUAAACCGCUUUCGCCUGUGACGAAGCGUGAGUGACGGUAAUGGGUAAAGAAGCACCGGCUAACUACGUG
RNAcentral lists this ribosomal RNA (468 nucleotides) under uncultured bacterium. RNAcentral describes it as "partial 16S ribosomal RNA". It matches the Rfam family "Bacterial small subunit ribosomal RNA", at positions 28 to 507 of the family's 1533-position model. The record is from RNAcentral.